CAAGUAUGACAAGUAAUCGCGGCUGCGAAUGCCGAAAGGCUGCAGGUGAGGAAAGUCCGGGCUUCAUAGGGCAGGAUGCCGGAUAACGUCCGGUGGAGGCGACUCCAAGGCCAGUGCAACAGAAAUGUACCGCCUGGACGGCGGCGCGCCGUCCAGGUAAGGGUGGAAGGGCAGUGUAAGAGACUACCGCCCUGCUGGUAACAGCAGGGGUUCAUGUAAACCCCAUCCGAAGCAAGGCCGAACAGAGACAAUGUGGCUGCCCGUCACGUCUCAGGUAGGCCGCUGGAGCCUGCUGGCAACAGCAGGCCUAGAUAGAUGAUUACUCAACGACAUAACCCGGCUUAUCGUCAUGCUUGUAUU
This 360-nucleotide RNase P RNA is filed under the name Dorea sp. Its description in RNAcentral is "RNase P RNA component class A". It matches the Rfam family "Bacterial RNase P class A". Rfam says of the family: Ribonuclease P (RNase P) is a ubiquitous endoribonuclease, found in archaea, bacteria and eukarya as well as chloroplasts and mitochondria. Its best characterised activity is the generation of mature 5'-ends of tRNAs by cleaving the 5'-leader elements of precursor-tRNAs. Cellular RNase Ps are ribonucleoproteins. Lineage: Bacteria; Bacillati; Bacillota; Clostridia; Lachnospirales; Lachnospiraceae. The record is from RNAcentral.